GACGAACGCUGGCGGCGUGCUUAACACAUGCAAGUCGAACGGAAAGGCCCUGCUUUUGUGGGGUGCUCGAGUGGCGAACGGGUGAGUAACACGUGAGUAACCUGCCCUUGACUUUGGGAUAACUUCAGGAAACUGGGGCUAAUACCGGAUAGGAGCUCCUGCUGCAUGGUGGGGGUUGGAAAGUUUCGGCGGUUGGGGAUGGACUCGCGGCUUAUCAGCUUGUUGGUGGGGUAGUGGCUUACCAAGGCUUUGACGGGUAGCCGGCCUGAGAGGGUGACCGGCCACAUUGGGACUGAGAUACGGCCCAGACUCCUACGGUAGGCAGCAGUGGGGAAUAUUGCACAAUGGGCGGAAGCCUGAUGCAGCAACGCCGCGUGCGGGAUGACGGCCUUCGGGUUGUAAACCGCUUUCGCCUGUGACGAAGCGUGAGUGACGGUAAUGGGUAAAGAAGCACCGGCUAACUACGU
This 467-nucleotide ribosomal RNA is filed under the name uncultured bacterium. RNAcentral's name for it is "partial 16S ribosomal RNA". It matches the Rfam family "Bacterial small subunit ribosomal RNA", at positions 28 to 506 of the family's 1533-position model. The record is from RNAcentral.